CCUAGUACCUAGUAUUGGGUGGAAAGUGGCGAACGGGUGAGUAACACGUUGGUGACCUGUCCCGAGGAGGGGGAUAACCGUGGGAAACCACGGCUAAUACCCCAGAUGUCUGGAUUGUUAGAGGAUCUAGACUAAAGCUCCGGCGCCUUGGGAGGGACCUGCGGGCUAUCAGCUUGUUGGUGGGGUAAAGGCCCACCAAGGCUAAGACGGCUAGGGGGCGUGAGAGCGCGACCCCCCACAAUGGAACUGAGACACGGUCCAU
RNAcentral lists this ribosomal RNA (262 nucleotides) under uncultured bacterium. RNAcentral describes it as "partial 16S ribosomal RNA". It matches the Rfam family "Bacterial small subunit ribosomal RNA", at positions 71 to 334 of the family's 1533-position model. The record is from RNAcentral.